AACGAACGCUGGCGGCAGGCUUAACACAUGCAAGUCGAACGCACCUUUCGGGGUGAGUGGCAGAGGGGUGAGUAACGCGGGGGAAUCUACCCUUCUCUACGGGAUAGCUCCGGGAAACUGGAAUUAAUACCGUAUACGUCCUGAGGGAGAAGGAGUUAUCGGGGAAGGAUGAGCGCGGGUUGGAUUAGCUGGUUGGUGGGGUAAAGGCCGACCAAGGCGACGAUCCAUGGCUGGUCUAAGAGGAUGAUCAGCCACAUUGGGACUGCGACACGGACCAAACUCCGACGGAGGGCAGCAGUAGGGAAUAUUGGGCGAGGGACGCAAGCGUGACCCAGCCAUGCCGCGUGAGUGAUGAAGGCCCUAGGGUUGUAAAGCUCUUUCAGUGGGGACGAUAAUGACGGUACCCACAGAAGAAGCCCCGGCUAACUUCGUG
Molecule: ribosomal RNA, 433 nt
Filed under: uncultured bacterium
Lineage: Bacteria
Description: partial 16S ribosomal RNA
Rfam family: Bacterial small subunit ribosomal RNA
Source: RNAcentral